UACGGGGGGGGGCAAGCGUUGUUCGGAAUUACUGGGCGUAAAGGGCUCGUAGGUGGCCAACUAAGUCAGACGUGAAAUCCCUCGGCUUAACCGGGGAACUGCGUCUGAUACUGGAUGGCUUGAGUUCGGGAGAGGGAUGCGGAAUUCCAGGUGUAGCGGUGAAAUGCGUAGAUAUCUGGAGGAACACCGGUGGCGAAGGCGGCAUCCUGGACCGACACUGACGCUGAGGAGCGAAAGCCAGGGGAGCAAAACGGGG
This 256-nucleotide ribosomal RNA is filed under the name uncultured bacterium. RNAcentral's name for it is "partial 16S ribosomal RNA". It matches the Rfam family "Bacterial small subunit ribosomal RNA", at positions 524 to 778 of the family's 1533-position model. The record is from RNAcentral.